RNAcentral lists this ribosomal RNA (482 nucleotides) under uncultured bacterium. Its description in RNAcentral is "partial 16S ribosomal RNA". It matches the Rfam family "Bacterial small subunit ribosomal RNA", at positions 30 to 507 of the family's 1533-position model. The record is from RNAcentral.
AUUGAACGCUGGCGGCAUGCCUUACACAUGCAAGUCGAACGGUAACGGGCCUUCGGGUGCCGACGAGUGGCGAACGGGUGCGUAAUACAUCGGAACGUGCCCGAUCGUGGUGGAUAACGAGGCGAAAGCUUUGCUAAUACCCCCUACGACCUACGGCUGAAAGCAGGGGACCGCAAGGCCUUGCGCGGACGGGGCGGCCGAUGGCAGAUUAGGUAGUUGGUGGGAUAAAAGCUUACCAAGCCGACGAUCUGUAGCUGGUCUGAGAGGAUGAUCAGCCACACUGGGACUGAGACACGGCCCAGACUCCUACGGGAGGCAGCAGUGGGGAAUUUUGGACAAUGGGCGCAAGCCUGAUCCAGCCAUGCCGCGUGCAGGAUGAAGGCCUUCGGGUUGUAAACUGCUUUUGUAGGGAACGAAAAGCCUUCUUUUAAUACAGGAGGGUCAUGACGGUACCGUAAGAAUAAGCACCGGCUAACUACGUG